AGCACGUUAUGGUGGGCACUCUAAGGAGACUGCCGGUGACAACCGGAGGAAGGUGGGGAGUGACGUCAAGUCAUCAUGGCCCUUACGGCCUGGGCUACACACGUGCUACAAUGGUCGGUACAAAGGGUUGCCAAGCCGCGAGGUGGAGCUAAUCCCAUAAAACCGAUCGUAGUCCGGAUCGCAGUCUGCAACUCGACUGCGUGAAGUCGGAAUCGCUAGUAAUCGUGAAUCAGAAUGUCACGGUGAAUACGUUCCCGGGCCUU
Molecule: ribosomal RNA, 263 nt
Filed under: uncultured Pseudomonas sp.
Lineage: Bacteria; Pseudomonadati; Pseudomonadota; Gammaproteobacteria; Pseudomonadales; Pseudomonadaceae
Description: partial 16S ribosomal RNA
Rfam family: Bacterial small subunit ribosomal RNA
Source: RNAcentral